Molecule: long non-coding RNA, 8296 nt
Organism: Hemicordylus capensis (graceful crag lizard)
Lineage: Eukaryota; Metazoa; Chordata; Lepidosauria; Squamata; Cordylidae
Exons: 2
Source: RefSeq, a predicted model, not a curated record
ACAAGCUACAAAGGAGAAGAGAAAAAAUUAACAAACAGCUCUCAUAAAAUUCCUUAAUGGAAGCUCCUAAGCUAAAGUAGCACACAAUAAACAGGCUGCGAGCCAGAGGGAUGUCUGCAUAUGUUCUGCACCCGAACUCCUUUCCCAGCUUCCUGUACAGACGCUCCCUUCACAGAACCUCAAGUUCACAUAUCAGUUUGUGGAUUUAUUGCAAGUUGUGUUUUUUUAAAAAAGAGGAUAAGUUGAGUGACAAAUAGUGCAUGGAUAUCUUUUCAGACACUCACAAGUCUCAAUUUGUUUUUUGUUGUCCUUUUUAAUUCAAAAGAGUCUUAAAGAGCAGUUUGGGAAUUAUGUGAAAACAACUUCUGAAAAGGAAAGUUUGCACAAAAGAAGUGUCAGAUGUGCACAUAUCCCACUGGGUCGUGGUCCUUGUCCGGUUGGCAAUACUGCAUGGGCUAAAAAUGAUGAGAAUUUAACAUUGCUGGCCUUUAUUGGUUAUAGGAAUUACAAAAAUGACAUCAUAUUCCCUAAAGUACUUAAGAGAAAUCAAUUAGGAUAUCAGUCUCUUUUUGUGGCAAAAAUAUGCACCAUCCACAAUCAGUCAUGAUUAGAAACUAAUGAGACAAGUUAGUCAUGAUUAACUUAGUCUGCAUACCAUCCUAAAUCUUUGAAGUCAGUGGCCCCAAUUCCGACAGAGUUCCUUAUAACUAUGUACCCUUGAAACCAUGAGAAGUGAGCUAUUAUCCUUAUGUUUGAUUGAUUGAUUAAGUGCUGUCAAGCCUGUGACGACUCCUAGCAACCACACAGAUAGGUUCUCUCCAGGAUGAUCGGUCUUCAACUUGCCCUUUAAGGUCUCUCAGUGCUGCAUUAAUUGCUGUUGUAAUCAAGUCCAUCCACCUUAUGUUUAAAAGCCUGACUAUUAAGUCUUUGACCAGUUGGAUUUCUUGAGGGGACUGGGAUCCCAUGGUAUUUGGACAUCAAGUGACUUCAAUUAAGAAAGAUCUGGUACACAAAAGGUCACAACCCCUUGAGCAAUCUUUUUUCUUAUGCUGAUUGUGAAGACGUCCUCUAACUCCCCCCCUCUCCUCCUAUUUAAAAAGAUAAGGUGUGCUAUCAAGUCGAUUUCGACUCCUGGCACCCACAGAGCCCUGUGGUUUUCUUUGGUAGAAUACAGGAGGGGUUUACCAUUGCCUCCUCCCACACAUUUAGGAAAUCCUCUUUAUAUUCCUAGCAUAAGGUCAUUCACACAAUCAAAAACUGUGUUCUACCCAGGACCUGUGAGUGCUCCCAAUUUUCAGUUGUGUGGAAGCCUGGUAGGUAGGAGGAAAAGCUACCCAGGUUUCCCUCCUACCUUGCUUCCACACAACCGCAAAUUGGGAGCAUGCACAGCUCCUGGGCAGAAGACAGUUUUUGAAUGUGUGAAUGACCUCUUUAUAUUUCCUCAAAGAAUGCUCACCAGUUUGUGCAUGCCACAUAAGCAGUGAACAAGUAGAAAAGCAUUUGCAAAUUAAUUACUUUGGUGCUCAAACUAAAAUGAUUGCUUACUUCUAUUAUAGACUCUUCAGUGUUAAUCAGCUGGAGACCCUUCAAGUUAGGUUAAAGUUGCGUUUGAGGAAUUUCUGCUCUUACCUGGAAGCCAUUUGGGUGUCUAACUGCUAUUUUAGAAUACUACUCAGGCUUCCCUUCUUGCAUAUGCAACUUGUGUGUUAUCACUCGAAUACUAUUCAGAGAGACAAGAGUUCUGCCUGAUGGACUAAUUGGUGUUCCUAGUCCUGUUUCAUCUUGAAUGCAGAAUCUUUAGAAGAACUCUCAUGACUCCUAGUAUAUCACAACAAAUAGCUCCCCAUGUGUUUUCCCUUCAAAGUAGCUUCUCUUUUUCUGUCUCACAAUGCUAUGGCAUACUUAAACAAAAAAAAGGUUACUACCUGUGAUGGGAAAAGAGUCCAGAAGCAUACUCCAACAGAAGGUAUUCACGCAUAUUGGAACCGAAACUAGAGGAAGAGCACAGUGUAAUAUAUCCCGUUAUGUGAUCACUUGCACUGAAUUAAGGGCUGCGACAGCUAUACUUUGCUUAUUGUCAAAGAUUUCAUACCCCAGUCUACUUCUGCUCAAUAUCACUUCUGAAUUGUUGCAAUUCACAUCUGUUUUAUAUUUAGCUACUAGCUGUUCUUAACGUGCAACACUGACAUGAAUUUGACAGCCUGCUCACCAAUCAGUGGCAAGAAGUGGGACAAAACUGACCAGUAUUAAGCAGCAGCUUCCAUCUCUGCAUUUAUUUCAUCAUAUUAUGUUCUGCCUUUCUUCCAUCAUGGAACCCAGUGUAGCAUAUACAAAGUUCUCAGGCAGUCACUCAUCCAGGCAUUGACCAGACUCUGACCUGCUUCGCUUCAGCAAGGUGGCUGUAUCAUGAACCCUCAGACCAUCUGUAUAACCAUAUGCAUUCUGUGCCACAGAGAAAUGUAUUCUCUCUUCUAGAAUACAGCACAUCAAUCACGCAAAAGGGAAGCCCUGGUCAUCCAGAAAAUGUUUGCAGUUCUUCCUCAGGUGGUACAAGUCACACAUCUUUAAAGAGAAGAAGUAAUAUCUCCCCCUUCUAGAUGCCAGCCAGAGGCUGCCAGUGCUUCUCAGUAUAGGGACUGAAACAGUUGUGAAGGUAUGAAGUUGCUUUAUACCCAGUUAGACUAUUAGUCUACCUAGCCUAGUACUGUCUGUUCUCUGGCAGUGCCUUUCCAGGGCCUGAAACAGGGGUUCUUUAUGUGCUAUCACUGAGCUAGGAUGACUUGCUCCCAAUGAAGAGAAAAUAGCAGCACAACUAAAUUUAAAUGUGGGGUCAAUCUCUGGCAAGAAAGAAGGCAGAUGCUUUAUUCACGGAAGAAUGCAGUAGGAGUUGGGAGUUUAACAAACAGAUCAGCUUAGGAAUAUAACAAAAAGGCACAAGGACUACUCCAGUAAUAUUUUGCAACAGGACUGCUGAAGACCACAACGCCAUGAGAAUUUCUGUUGUACUCUGGAAUAACAGCUGGUAGAGUACCAUGGCUGUGAGCUGGGCAAUCUUCAGUUUAAACGCCAACUCAGUUACAAAUGCACUAGUCAUCACAGGCAAGCCAUGAUUCUCUCAGCCUUGGUUCACAUCUAAAAAUGGUGAUAACACUACGGUUUAGAAUUACUGUUACAGUAUGCUAGGCACUCUGAACACUCUAAAGUGUUACAUAAAUGCUAAGUAUUAUUAAUAAAAGCUUCCUUGAACAGAAGCCUUUACAACUAAGCAAAGUCAUUUAAAAACCCAAUUCUGUUAUAAGGCUCAUAACACUGCUGGCUCCUACCCAGUAGUACACUAUUUUCUUUUGCAUGGUCAGUCUCUAAGACUACUAAGCAAGCUUUCAACCACUACCAUUCAUAAGGCUAUCUUUAUUUUAAACAGUCAAAUGUUUUUGAAAAGGACUUACUAAAGAUUGUGAGACUGUAGGAGACUGCAGUGAUCCAGUAGGUCUGUCAGAUGAGCUACAAACCACCAGUUGCUCAGAGCAAUGCUGUACAUACAAGAAAUGAAAGAGGGAUUAUAAAAGGUAAUGUAUCACACACUACAAGACUGCCAUCUGCUCUGACAAGAGUGACCAUCCCCAUCCAACUACACAGUUUAGCAACUCUAUUACACCAAAAAGAAUUACAUUUAUUUGGUCGAUGUGUUUUUGUCACUAAGCUCCUUUAUUUAUUUAUUUAUUUUAAAAGGGGCUUCCCCUUCCUUCCUAUUUACCCGUUACUAUAUUCACAAGCAAUUUCUUUGUCCCUUAAAUACAAGAGAUAUUCCAGAUUGCAAACCUGACAAGACCACAAAUAAAGUGCUCUAAAAUGCAGAUGGCAAAGUCACCUGCACUCUUUAAUCACUUGAUGGAUGUCGAACUCAAAGGCUGCAAGCAAGAUGCUGUCUAAGGGUUCGGGGCUGCUCUCUCCUCCCAGGAACAGAUCAAGGCUGGACUGUGGAAUUCACAAAGAGUGCCUCCAAGGUGGCAUCAUCACUUCUCCCAUCGUCAUGAGAAGCCAGAGGACAAGAUGAUGCAAAGAGGCCUCCCUGUCAGUUGCCUUUCUGCUUCGGCAGCAGAAAGGCUGAGGCUGGCUCCACUCUCAAAAGCAGUAUUCCCCAAGUCACCUGUGCGUAGAGAUGGAGUUCCACAUGCUUCACAGUAGGAUGGCAAUACAACAGCCGAGUUACCAGAAAAUGGUACCAGGUAGUCAUGAGAUCUCUCUUUUCUAAAAUGGUGUUCUCAUCUCCCACUAGGAUCUAACGGCAAAAGGGAGAAACUUCUUUAGUGACCCCACAGAGACCCUAUGCAACACUUCUUUGAUCUUUUGACCUCUAGAAAAUCCUGGUUUUGGAGGAAGGUGUGGAGGUGGCUAGUGCUAGCUCCCCAAGAGCAAAUGUGUUCAGUACAUUUUUUUGUCCCCAUACAGUAGGGGAGCUUUUCUGUGGCAGCGGGUGGGGGAGCUCUCCUGUUCAAAGCACAUCCCACCACUACCCAAGUGCCAUUCUAGGUUGUGUUCUCUCUUUAUUCUCAGUGUUGGGAGUAUAUAAAGGUUUUUGGGGUGUGUGUGGUUUUUUUUAAAGAAACAAGUUAACAAAACUGAAAUACUAGACUCGUUGGUGUUCAUUAAGUACCCUACUCCACUUUUAGAGAAGGAAUGCUCCAGAGGAGAGUGCUCAGCUCCUGAAGAGAAAACACUGACUACCCUGACUAGCAGGUUUUGUGUAGCUGCAGCAGGAAUCCUCACCCAACUAUCCCAGUCCCCUUGCACUCACACUGUUGCACAAGCGCUCCCACUGCGUCCACACAGACCCUGCGAGUGCACUUGCCCUGUCAGUCAGGAUGUCAGCCACUCACUUUAAAGAAAUUGUAAAAUGGUACUGGCAUGGAUCAGAAGGGGUAUUAUACUUGUUACUAGGGAUCAUGUCUGGCUACUAACAGGUGCCCAUGACACUCACAGCACCACAUUCCACACAGCACUCUGGACCAGAGGGGCACUUAGGUAAGUGUGGAGCCUGGACCUAAAGGCCUUUGGAGCCGCCCACCCACUGCAAGUUAAGCAUUAUCCCCCAAGACACACAGGAUUUUUACUACGUGGGUUCUUGAGGGCACCAAUAAAAUAAAUAAAUAAUCACAAGAAUGUAAGAAUAUACAACAGGUAUAUUUAUGCAAAUAUGCAGUAACACAUAACUUAACAUAUUCCCAUCCCACAUAUUUAUUUCCCCACUCUCCCCUCUGUCUCUAAAGCACCCAGCACAGGUCAUCAUCAUGCCUGGCAUUGUGUGGGCCAGCCAGAGGCAGAUUUAGCCACAGACCUCAGGGACCAGGUCUGUGGCUUCCUGGGAGGCCUCCCAGAGUCCCACCCAUGCCAAUAUUUGCCAUCUUCACCAUCUGGGGGUGAGCGGAGCAGCCCCCCGCUCCCCACAGCAGUGGCAGCUUGUCCUUGGGGUGCACCUGCGCAGUGAAUAGGGAACAUUGCAUGUCAGUGAUGUCAGGUCUUUCAAACAUCUCCCUUUGAAUGCCUCAUGACACUAUAUUCAUUGCUGAAUCUGCAUUCCCAACCACCUUAAAUCUAUCAUUUGCUCUCCCUUUGUUCUAAGAUGUCACACACCUUGCAGAGGGUCUCCAGGUGAGGGUUAGAAGCAAAUGUGCCAUCUUGCAAGAAUCGCUGACAUUCCUCGUGCCAAUGCUGCCAUUUCAACUCUAUCUCUGUCAAAGUCUGAGUGCUGCCAGGCUAGAAGUGGUUAGAAAAAGCAGGCCUUUUUAACCCACAAGAGAAAAUUUCUCCAAAAAUCAUUGCAGCCUUCAAACAACUUUCCAGGAAGAAAAAAACAAGACAUCCUGCACACAGAUCAAAAGCAAUUUAAGAUUCUUGUUCUAACCAUAUGAAAGGGAUGUGUGACUGAAACUCCAAAGUAGAUAGUAUAAGAAGCUUUCCUCCCUUGCGAAAGCACACUACAUCACAACAGCGUUCUGCUGGCAAAUAUCUGUCUAUGUUUCCAGAGAAUUAAUUUAAUGAAACUUCCUGCUAAACGCUGAGGUUAACAGCCAAAGUCCAGAAGCAACAUUCUCCUUGAAACUGUAUCAAAGAUAAGACUAUUUCACAGUGACACAAGGAACUUUCAUUUCCCACAACAAAGAACCCGUAUGAAACGAUGGUUUAAUCCUCAUUCGUAUAAAGCUCAGUGAUAGAGUCUGUGCAUUGCAUGCAGAAGGUCCCAAGUUAAAUUCCUAACAUUUUCAACCUAAAAAGAUCUCAGAUAGCAUGUCUGGGAAGAACCCCUGCCAGACCUUAGAGAGCUGCUGCCAGUCAGAGCAGACAGUCCUUGAACUAUAUGGCCUGACUCAGAAAAAGGCAGCUAAAAUGUUGCCUUGGUGAACACACACCAUUGCAAGUACUACGUAGAACUGUCACUGUAUGAUAAAACAAACAGCUUACAUACAUUGAAAACAGGCAUUUUCCUCAUUAACUCAUCCAAAAUUUUGCACAUGCUCACUGAUGUGGCAUUGGUAUUCGCUUCCUUGGAGAGCAGCUGUCGAGCCUCAUCCAUUCGGCCCUGAAGCACAAACAUAGUUACCUGCAAAACAAAAACACACAAGAUGUGCUGUAGAGUAUGAAAUGCAACCCAAUGAACGACCUACACAUAAAUAUUAACACCCACACUUAUCCACAUACAGCUACAAUGGGACAUGCAAUGGUUAAUGCCAAUCAGAACAGCAUCGUAAAAUAGGGCUGACCCCUCUGAGCAAGCAUGUAGCGUUGCACUGACAUACCUAACUCUGCAGUGGUUGAAAGGUUUCCAGUCCUGUCUUCACCAGGAAGCAGUUUGGCUCACCACUACUAUAUACAGCUGACAAUGGUGACUGUUGCUGCUAGAGCAACCUUCAAACAUGCAGUUUUACUUUAAGAAACUGCAAGACUAUUCACAUGACCCGAGGUGGGGAGAGAGCGCAGGCAGGGGGAAGGCCAUGCUGAACUUCCCUUCCUCCCAGAUGACCACUGGCCUACCCAAGCCACACAGCUAAGGCGUUCACACAUGUGGCUCUCCUGGGAGCCAUGUGGCACCAGAUAUCCCAUAAUGCACCACACGAGUGCAGUGCCUUAAUGGAAUCUCCUGGGAGUUGGACACGCUAGGUGCUUGUCUCUGUGUCCACCAGGGCUGCAAGCAGCUGGGGUUAAGGGUGCACUCGUGCCCUCAACCCUGGUUGAAAUCAAAAGUUUGGCAGCAAAGCACCACUGGGAUCAGGCUCAAUCGCAGCAGUUCUCACGUGCAGCCUAACCCAGUCUGGGUCUCACACACUGCAGCUAUAAGCUACAGUACUGCACUGAGGCUUUCACACUUUGCUAGGAACUUCGCACAGUUCCUAGCCAAACAUCUCGCAAUGCCAAACCAUCAAAAUGCUUGGAGUUUGCAGCAUUUGUACAGAUGACUCAAACACAACAGAGCCAGCCUUCCUUCCUUCCUUCGGUGCUGCUUUAAACUGAAAGGAUAUUGCCCUUUUAGAAAAGAUCAUUCACACUAGUCCCGAUUCCAGCUAGAUAACCUUCCAAGAGAAUAGCGACAGCAAGCACACAAACUUUCUUGGAUAAGGAAAUUCUUCACUCACCACAUUCCAGAAAUUUUCAUGUUUUGCUGGACACUCACUCCUCAGAACUUCACAAGCCAGAUUAUCCACAUCACACACAUGAAGACGAACCCAGUCAAGGAGAUGAGACAGGAGCGGACCAGCUGGAAGAAGAGACAUAUUUCCAUGAUCUGCUUUCUCUUAUUCUUAUUUGAGGACUGACCUAUGGGUCCCCCCCUUUUUUAAAUGCAGUUUGGUCUGCUUUUGGCUGAAAUUGACCGGAGUAGCACUUGUGGGGUGCUAACAGUUACAUCUGCUAUUUGGAGCAUGUGCUUCUACUAGGCCUUUAGUACACCUAGUUAGCCAAAACAAUGAAGUCCUUUUGCAUCUGGAUUCAGGAAAACAUCUUUUCAGGAUGAGAGGGGGAAAGAGAGCAAGGAAUGCUUUAAAUAAGGUCCAAAACAGAACACUGCAUUAAAAGGGGAAUAUGGAAAGAAUGCAGAUUGUAACCACCCUGGAUGGGAUAUCAACUUUGUAUUCUUUUUACUGCAAGCUACUCUGAAACACACAGGAGAGAGAUUUUGCUUUUUAAGGCUUGCUUUUUGACUUGCUACCUGCAGUAAUGUAACCUGCUCUUUGAAAGUGAUGAAGCUUAACAUGUCAGUGCUUUACAUUGUGCUAUUUGACAAUAAAACGAUAUUUUUAAAGGA